RNAcentral lists this ribosomal RNA (497 nucleotides) under uncultured bacterium. RNAcentral describes it as "partial 16S ribosomal RNA". It matches the Rfam family "Bacterial small subunit ribosomal RNA", at positions 28 to 507 of the family's 1533-position model. The record is from RNAcentral.
GAUGAACGCUGGCGGCGUGCCUAAUACAUGCAAGUCGAGCGAACAGACGAGGAGCUUGCUCCUCUGACGUUAGCGGCGGACGGGUGAGUAACACGUGGAUAACCUACCUAUAAGACUGGGAUAACUUCGGGAAACCGGAGCUAAUACCGGAUAAUAUAUUGAACCGCAUGGUUCAAUAGUGAAAGACGGUUUUGCUGUCACUUAUAGAUGGAUCCGCGCCGCAUUAGCUAGUUGGUAAGGUAACGGCUUACCAAGGCAACGAUGCGUAGCCGACCUGAGAGGGUGAUCGGCCACACUGGAACUGAGACACGGUCCAGACUCCGACGGGAGGCAGCAGUAGGGAAUCUUCCGCAAUGGGCGAAAGCCUGACGGAGCAACGCCGCGUGAGUGAUGAAGGUCUUCGGAUGGUAAAACUCCGUUAUUAGGGAAGAACAAAUGUGUAAGUAACUAUGCACGUCUUGACGGUACCUAAUCAGAAAGCCACGGCUAACUACGUG